Molecule: non-coding RNA, 77 nt
Filed under: Gammaproteobacteria bacterium
Lineage: Bacteria; Pseudomonadati; Pseudomonadota; Gammaproteobacteria
Source: RNAcentral
AGCCGAAACCGGGGCCGCCAUGAGGCGGUCCCGGUCGUCCCGGCGUGUUGGCCGGGGCCUGACGAUGGCAGACACCA